CACAGAAAUAGGUGCUGCCUCUUGUG
RNAcentral lists this non-coding RNA (26 nucleotides) under Mus musculus (house mouse). Lineage: Eukaryota; Metazoa; Chordata; Mammalia; Rodentia; Muridae. The record is from RNAcentral.